Molecule: long non-coding RNA, 212 nt
Filed under: Mytilus galloprovincialis (Mediterranean mussel)
Lineage: Eukaryota; Metazoa; Mollusca; Bivalvia; Mytilida; Mytilidae
Source: RNAcentral
UGGGGUCAUCUGAUAUAUCAAAUUGGAGGUCUUAAUAAACUCUACUUAAAAAUGAAAAUUUUAAACCCCCUUUUCAUCCCAUGGGGACGGGUGGGGUCAUUUAGUGCAAACAUUCAAAUUUCUCAGAUGGUAAGGUUGUCGCAUAUCAAAUGAAAGAACAUAAAGCGUACAUUACAAAUUUCAAAUUGACGUCUCCCAAAAAUGGCUUGGAU